This 599-nucleotide ribosomal RNA is filed under the name Vibrio brasiliensis. RNAcentral's name for it is "bacterial SSU rRNA". It matches the Rfam family "Bacterial small subunit ribosomal RNA", at positions 63 to 651 of the family's 1533-position model. Lineage: Bacteria; Pseudomonadati; Pseudomonadota; Gammaproteobacteria; Vibrionales; Vibrionaceae. The record is from RNAcentral.
CGAGUUAACUGAACCUUCGGGGAACGUUAACGGCGUCGAGCGGCGGACGGGUGAGUAAUGCCUGGGAAAUUGCCCUGAUGUGGGGGAUAACCAUUGGAAACGAUGGCUAAUACCGCAUAAUAGCUUCGGCUCAAAGAGGGGGACCUUCGGGCCUCUCGCGUCAGGAUAUGCCCAGGUGGGAUUAGCUAGUUGGUGAGGUAAUGGCUCACCAAGGCGACGAUCCCUAGCUGGUCUGAGAGGAUGAUCAGCCACACUGGAACUGAGACACGGUCCAGACUCCUACGGGAGGCAGCAGUGGGGAAUAUUGCACAAUGGGCGCAAGCCUGAUGCAGCCAUGCCGCGUGUGUGAAGAAGGCCUUCGGGUUGUAAAGCACUUUCAGCCGUGAGGAAGGCGGGUACGUUAAUAGCGUGCUCGUUUGACGUUAGCUGCAGAAGAAGCACCGGCUAACUCCGUGCCAGCAGCCGCGGUAAUACGGAGGGUGCGAGCGUUAAUCGGAAUUACUGGGCGUAAAGCGCAUGCAGGUGGUUAGUUAAGUCAGAUGUGAAAGCCCGGGGCUCAACCUCGGAACUGCAUUUGAAACUGGCUGACUAGAGUACUG